This is a long non-coding RNA of Callithrix jacchus (white-tufted-ear marmoset), 3307 nucleotides long. RefSeq lists it as uncharacterized. NCBI's taxonomy places the organism in Eukaryota, Metazoa, Chordata, Mammalia, Primates, Cebidae. The record is from RefSeq and is a predicted model, not a curated record.
AUUGUUUCUCUUUUCCUGAGAGCUGAAGGGCACUGUUCACAGAUCUCAAGCAGCACCCUGGAGGAACGUAAGAGGUGGGUUUGGGAGCAGGGGAGAGCUAAGGAAUGAAAGGUUUAGUUGAAGAAGAGGAAAGAGAGGGAAAGAGUAUCAUUUGGUUUCUGUUUUAGGUAGAUUCACGUUGGGCACAACUUUGUCCAAAACCAGUUAGACUCAGAUAAGGAAGUUAUCCAGAACUUGCAGAUACCCACUGAGCUUCCUUAAUUUCUUGGCCACCCUGGUUUAUGAUGCUAAGGCUUAACAUUUUAGAGACAAAAAUGGCACAUCUGGUCAUCUUAUUCCAAUCACAUGUCACUCUGUCAGAGGCAUCUGCCAUAACACUGACCUCACACACUUGUUGCUAUAGUCUAAUGGUGUAGCUAGUGCUAUAGAUACAAUUAUUACUAUUUUUGAGACAGAGUCUUACUUUGUUACCCAGGCUGGAGUGCAGUAGGGUGAUCUUGGCUCACUGCAACCUCCGCCUCUUGGGUUCAAGCAAUUCUCCUGCCCUAGCCUCAUGAGUAACUGGGACUACAGGCUCCUGCUACCACGCCCAGCUAAUUUUUGUAUUUUUAGUAGAGAUGGGGCUUCACCAUAUUGGUCAGGCUGGUCUUGAACUCCUGACCUGGUGAUCUGCCCACUUUGACCUCCCAAAGUGCUGAGAUUACAGGCGUGAGCCACCACACCCGGCCUAGAUACUAUUAUUAUUGGUAUUCCAAUGUUAUAUAUGUGUUAAAUGGGACACAGGAAAGUUAACGUGCCCAGAUCGUAACUGACAUAGCUAGGGUUUGAAUCAAAGCAUCACUCACAAGAGACCAAAAUUUAUAGUAAACAGCAAAAUUAUGAGAUUAUGUUAUUUUUUAAAUUACAUUUAAGUUUCAAUUAUUUAGGUUGUUUUGCAUCUAGGUAAUUUUCUUAGAAUGAAAAAACUAUAUAUUUUGCUGAAAUUUUUUCAUAUUCUCCCAAACAUGACAUGAUAGCAGGAUAAUCCUCCACACCCAAAUUUCCCAACAUGAUUCAAGCAAAAAUCAUUUGUGCAAAAUUAUUUGAGCAUUUCAUCAGUUUUCUCAAAAGCCUCUCCUAAGACUCUGAUAUUCAAAUAAUUUUCUUUUGAAGUACCUGAGCAAUUGGUUUGAUUGAGUUUACAUUUAGACUCAUAUAUUAGCAUGCGGCGGCUCUGGAAAAAUGGGAUGUACAAGGACAUAACUAGCUUUAAGAGGAGAACUGUCUGCUAGAGUGGGAGUUAAUUUGAUAAUAUUAGUGAUAUUUUCAUCUCAAGAUGGCCUCUGCUUCCCUAUGCAACCUGGCAACAACAAGGACUUCGAUAAUGAGGGCUGAGCUAAUGAGGACCUGCUGCCAUUUCACAGGCAUGAACUAUCCUGCCUUCCUUAGGGAACAGCUUAGCUGAUCUGAUGACAGCAUUCAGUGAAUUUUGAGGCAGACCCUAGGACGACCUCCAGUGAUCCCUGCCACCUGGCACUCAUGCUUCUGUGUAAUUCUUUCCCCUUGGGUGUGGGUGGGACCUGUCAGUUUCCUUUAAUAGAUAGAUCACGAGAUGUAUGUGAUUACAUGUACAUUAGUAUGUUACAGAAGGUUGUAAUGUCCUUCUUGCUAACACAUUCUUCCUUCCUGGUUUUGAUGAAUUGAGGAGUCCUGCUGUGGGCUGCUCUAUGAGUGGCCUAUGUGUCCGGAACUGAAGAUAAUUUCCAACUCCCAGCCAGCAAAACACAGAGGUCCUCAGUCCAACAUCCCAUGAAGAACUGAAUUCUGCCAACGACCAUAUGAGAUGAGAUUGCAAUCCUGGUCAGAAAUGCGACUGCAGCUUUCAGAUGAAACUCUGGAAUAGAGAACCCAACAAACAGAUGCCUGGACUCCCGACCUGAACCCACAGCAAUGGAAGCUCACUUGCUGAAGCUCAUGUACUUGCCCCUGAAGGUUAAAGCUGGUGUCUGCCCCUCCAGGAAGACUCUUUCCAUCAAAGCAUGUUCCACUCUCAUCCCUGGUCUACAGAAGGCAUCCACUUUUCAAGAAUGCCAACACUUCUCUCACCAAAGUACAUUUUUCUGGAGUUGGGUUUUGCUCCCCGUGGAAUGGCCUUACUGUUCAAAUUCAGAUGCAUUUGGCAAGUUCAGAAGACAAGAGUGAAGAUGAGAAGCCAUUGGCCUCAUGUGGAGUGUGAGUCUUUCUCUAGCUCCCCACUGCACACGCAAGCUUGCUUUCCAUCCAUAUGACAUGGUCCAGAAGUUCUCCUGUAUAUUCAUCAGCUUGGGCUACCACAGGACAAAAGACUUAGCAGCUGAGUAACAGAAAUGUACUUUCUCAUAGUUCUAGGGUCUGGAUCAGGUGCAGCGUGGUCAGGUUCUGGUGAGGACUCUCUUCCUGUAUUGCAGACAGCUGCCUUCCUACUGUGCGCUUGCAUGGCCUUUCCUCAGGAUGCACAUGCAGAGAGAGAGAGAGCUCCAGUAUCUCUUCUUCUUUUUUUGGAUGGGCACCACUUCUGUUGGAUUAGGGCUCCACUUUUACAACCUCAUUUAACUUUAGUCCUUAAAGCCCCCGUCUCCAGUAUAGUUGCAUGUGGGAUUAGGGCGUCAACAUAUGAAUUUAGGGAGAAGGAAGACAAUGCAGUCCCUAUUUGACAGAAAUCUCAGGGUUCUAGAAAACAUUUCAUGCUUGAAAAUUGUUGCCAGAAAUAUUUGAAAUUGAGCAAGUGGAAUUUAAAGGGAAAGACUUUGCCUUUAGAUUCUAAGCUCCAGGAGGGCAGGGACUGUGCUUCAGUAUUUCAGCACAGAGCACAGCAGCAGGCCCUGAUAAACGUGAAUUCAGGAAAGGCAGCCCUUCCUGAAGAUAGAAGCUCACUAGUUUGUGGAACUCUUACUGUGUCACCUUCAUUUGGCUCCUGUUAGGAAUCCAGAGAGAGGGUAAAAGGGUUCCUGUCACCCCUGAAGAUUGACUAGCCUAGAAUUUUCCAGGUUUCCAGAAUUUUCCAUUUUCUGCUGUCCCUUCCCUGUUCUGGUUCUGUUUCUGAGGACACAGCUGCCAGCUUUCAGCUCGAUGCUCUAUUUGAACCAUCCUGAGAGACAUAAAAUUUUCCACUCAGGAUCUAGUAAAAUAAAAACUUUUAAACAAAAUACACACCACACACACACACACACACACACACACACACACAUACAUGCACACAAGAACAGUUAGUUUAAAAAGCAGCCUACAAAAAUCUCUUGUUCUCAUGAGGAUUUCUGCCAUCAUGGGUAAUUUUUUUUAGCAGUUUUGU